GCAGGUGUAGUUUAAUGGUAAAACAUCAGCUUCCCAAGCUGAGGUCGGGGGUUCGAUUCCCCUCACCUGCU
This 71-nucleotide transfer RNA is filed under the name Ruminococcus sp. Its description in RNAcentral is "tRNA-Gly". It matches the Rfam family "tRNA". From Rfam's summary of the family: Transfer RNA (tRNA) molecules are approximately 80 nucleotides in length. Their secondary structure includes four short double-helical elements and three loops (D, anti-codon, and T loops). Further hydrogen bonds mediate the characteristic L-shaped molecular structure. tRNAs have two regions of fundamental functional importance: the anti-codon, which is responsible for specific mRNA codon recognition, and the 3' end, to which the tRNAs corresponding amino acid is attached (by aminoacyl-tRNA synthetases). tRNAs cope with the degeneracy of the genetic code in two manners: having more than one tRNA (with a specific anti-codon) for a particular amino acid; and 'wobble' base-pairing, i.e. permitting non-standard base-pairing at the 3rd anti-codon position. Lineage: Bacteria; Bacillati; Bacillota; Clostridia; Eubacteriales; Oscillospiraceae. RNAcentral also lists the same sequence under 2 other names. The record is from RNAcentral.